RNAcentral lists this ribosomal RNA (495 nucleotides) under uncultured bacterium. Its description in RNAcentral is "partial 16S ribosomal RNA". It matches the Rfam family "Bacterial small subunit ribosomal RNA", at positions 28 to 507 of the family's 1533-position model. The record is from RNAcentral.
GACGAACGCUGGCGGCGUGCCUAAUACAUGCAAGUAGAGCGCUGAAGGAGGAGCUUGCUUCUCUGGAUGAGUUGCGAACGGGUGAGUAACGCGUAGGUAACCUGCCUGGUAGCGGGGGAUAACUAUUGGAAACGAUAGCUAAUACCGCAUAAGAGUAGAUGUUGCAUGACAUUUGCUUAAAAGGUGCAAUUGCAUCACUACCAGAUGGACCUGCGUUGUAUUAGCUAGUUGGUGGGGUAACGGCUUACCAAGGCGACGAUACAUAGCCGACCUGAGAGGGUGAUCGGCCACACUGGGACUGAGACACGGCCCAGACUCCUACGGGAGGCAGCAGUAGGGAAUCUUCGGCAAUGGACGGAAGUCUGACCGAGCAACGCCGCGUGAGUGAAGAAGGUUUUCGGAUCGUAAAGCUCUGUUGUAAGAGAAGAACGAGUGUGAGAGUGGAAAGUUCACACUGUGACGGUAUCUUACCAGAAAGGGACGGCUAACUACGUG